RNAcentral lists this ribosomal RNA (1410 nucleotides) under Staphylococcus sp. Its description in RNAcentral is "bacterial SSU rRNA". It matches the Rfam family "Bacterial small subunit ribosomal RNA". The record is from RNAcentral. Lineage: Bacteria; Bacillati; Bacillota; Bacilli; Caryophanales; Staphylococcaceae.
UGCAGUCGAGCGAACAGAUAAGGAGCUUGCUCCUUUGACGUUAGCGGCGGACGGGUGAGUAACACGUGGGUAACCUACCUAUAAGACUGGGAUAACUUCGGGAAACCGGAGCUAAUACCGGAUAACAUUUGGAACCGCAUGGUUCUAAAGUGAAAGAUGGUUUUGCUAUCACUUAUAGAUGGACCCGCGCCGUAUUAGCUAGUUGGUAAGGUAACGGCUUACCAAGGCGACGAUACGUAGCCGACCUGAGAGGGUGAUCGGCCACACUGGAACUGAGACACGGUCCAGACUCCUACGGGAGGCAGCAGUAGGGAAUCUUCCGCAAUGGGCGAAAGCCUGACGGAGCAACGCCGCGUGAGUGAUGAAGGGUUUCGGCUCGUAAAACUCUGUUAUUAGGGAAGAACAAACGUGUAAGUAACUGUGCACGUCUUGACGGUACCUAAUCAGAAAGCCACGGCUAACUACGUGCCAGCAGCCGCGGUAAUACGUAGGUGGCAAGCGUUAUCCGGAAUUAUUGGGCGUAAAGCGCGCGUAGGCGGUUUCUUAAGUCUGAUGUGAAAGCCCACGGCUCAACCGUGGAGGGUCAUUGGAAACUGGGAAACUUGAGUGCAGAAGAGGAAAGUGGAAUUCCAUGUGUAGCGGUGAAAUGCGCAGAGAUAUGGAGGAACACCAGUGGCGAAGGCGACUUUCUGGUCUGUAACUGACGCUGAUGUGCGAAAGCGUGGGGAUCAAACAGGAUUAGAUACCCUGGUAGUCCACGCCGUAAACGAUGAGUGCUAAGUGUUAGGGGGUUUCCGCCCCUUAGUGCUGCAGCUAACGCAUUAAGCACUCCGCCUGGGGAGUACGACCGCAAGGUUGAAACUCAAAGGAAUUGACGGGGACCCGCACAAGCGGUGGAGCAUGUGGUUUAAUUCGAAGCAACGCGAAGAACCUUACCAAAUCUUGACAUCCUUUGAAAACUCUAGAGAUAGAGCCUUCCCCUUCGGGGGACAAAGUGACAGGUGGUGCAUGGUUGUCGUCAGCUCGUGUCGUGAGAUGUUGGGUUAAGUCCCGCAACGAGCGCAACCCUUAAGCUUAGUUGCCAUCAUUAAGUUGGGCACUCUAGGUUGACUGCCGGUGACAAACCGGAGGAAGGUGGGGAUGACGUCAAAUCAUCAUGCCCCUUAUGAUUUGGGCUACACACGUGCUACAAUGGACAAUACAAAGGGCAGCUAAACCGCGAGGUCAUGCAAAUCCCAUAAAGUUGUUCUCAGUUCGGAUUGUAGUCUGCAACUCGACUACAUGAAGCUGGAAUCGCUAGUAAUCGUAGAUCAGCAUGCUACGGUGAAUACGUUCCCGGGUCUUGUACACACCGCCCGUCACACCACGAGAGUUUGUAACACCCGAAGCCGGUGGAGUAACCAUUUAUGG